CAGCCGCCGCGGUAAUACCGGCGGCCCGAGUGGCGGUCACUAUUAUUGGGCUUAAAGCGUCCGUAGCCGGGUUGGGAAGUCCUCCGGGAAAUCUGGCCGCUUAACGGUCAGAAUGCCGGAGGAUACUCCCAGCCUAGGGAGCGGGAGAGGCCGAGGGGCUUCCCGGAGUAGGGGUGAAAUCCUAUAAUCCCGGGAGGACCACCUGUGGCGAAGGCGCUCGGCUGGAACGCGUCCGACGGUGAGGGACGAAGGCCAGGGGAGCAAACCGGAUUAGAUACCCGGGUAGUCCUGGCUGUAAACGAUGCGGACUUUGUGUCGGACAAGCUAUGAGCUUGUCCGGUGCCGGAGGGAAACCGUUAAGUCCGCCGCCUGGGGAGUACGGCCGCAAGGUUGAGACUUAAAGGAAUUGCGGG
This 413-nucleotide ribosomal RNA is filed under the name uncultured microorganism. Its description in RNAcentral is "bacterial SSU rRNA". It matches the Rfam family "Archaeal small subunit ribosomal RNA", at positions 459 to 871 of the family's 1478-position model. The record is from RNAcentral.